Long non-coding RNA from Etheostoma cragini (Arkansas darter), 419 nucleotides. RefSeq lists it as uncharacterized. The record is from RefSeq and is a predicted model, not a curated record. Lineage: Eukaryota; Metazoa; Chordata; Actinopteri; Perciformes; Percidae. The transcript has 3 exons.
ACAGAGUUUGAUUUGGUUGUGGAUUUGCGCAUCCCAGUCUCCAGUGUGCCAUCCAAUUUCUUCGAUAUAUUCAGGCAAAGACUGGCAAUCUUACCGUUGCCCCUCGUCACUGGAUCUUUAUCUAUACGAAACAUAACUUUCACCACAGCGUGCUAUCCAAACUCCACUGGAGGACUGCAGUGUCGGUGUGAGAACCAGUUUGCUUGGUCAUGUGACAAGUGUACCAGAUACGGUGCGUGCAGUAAUGCUACCAGUCAAAGCUGUGAGUGCAUUAACGGACUUCCUGAUGGACAGUUCUGUGAACCAAUCGCAAAUGUCACUCCAUGUAGAAACCCGUCUGGUAUGAGAACAUUUGUUUUUCUUUGUUUUGCAUGGAUAAGUUCAACAGAGUGUGUAGUAGUUGAAGACACUUGUUGCAA